RNAcentral lists this ribosomal RNA (695 nucleotides) under uncultured bacterium. Its description in RNAcentral is "bacterial SSU rRNA". It matches the Rfam family "Bacterial small subunit ribosomal RNA", at positions 32 to 715 of the family's 1533-position model. The record is from RNAcentral.
AACGCUAGCUACAGGCUUAACACAUGCAAGUCGAGGGGCAGCAUGGUCUUAGCUUGCUAAGGCCGAUGGCGACCGGCGCACGGGUGAGUAACGCGUAUCCAACCUGCCUUACACUCUUGGACAGCCUUCUGAAAGGGAGAUUAAUACAAGAUGUUAUCAUGAGUAAGCAUUUUCGCAUGAUUAAAGGUUUACCGGUGUAAGAUGGGGAUGCGUUCCAUUAGAUAGUAGGCGGGGUAACGGCCCACCUAGUCUUCGAUGGAUAGGGGUUCUGAGAGGAAGGUCCCCCACAUUGGAACUGAGACACGGUCCAAACUCCUACGGGAGGCAGCAGUGAGGAAUAUUGGUCAAUGGACGAGAGUCUGAACCAGCCAAGUAGCGUGAAGGAUGAAGGUUCUAUGGAUUGUAAACUUCUUUUAUACGGGAAUAAACGGAUCCACGUGUGGAUUUUUGCAUGUACCGUAUGAAUAAGGAUCGGCUAACUCCGUGCCAGCAGCCGCGGUAAUACGGAGGAUCCGAGCGUUAUCCGGAUUUAUUGGGUUUAAAGGGAGCGUAGAUGGGUUGUUAAGUCAGUUGUGAAAGUUUGCGGCUCAACCGUAAAAUUGCAAUUGAUACUGGCAGUCUUGAGUACAGUUGAGGUAGGCGGAAUUCGUGGUGUAGCGGUGAAAUGCUUAGAUAUCACGAAGAAACUCCGAUUG